GCGCGAGUAGCUCAGCGGAUUAGAGCGCAGCCCUGCGGAGGCUGAGGCCCCGGGUUCGAAUCCCGGCUCGCGUACCA
This 77-nucleotide transfer RNA is filed under the name Chloroflexota bacterium. RNAcentral's name for it is "Chloroflexi bacterium tRNA-Arg". It matches the Rfam family "tRNA". From Rfam's summary of the family: Transfer RNA (tRNA) molecules are approximately 80 nucleotides in length. RNAcentral also lists the same sequence under 2 other names. The record is from RNAcentral. Lineage: Bacteria; Bacillati; Chloroflexota.